Molecule: transfer RNA, 67 nt
Filed under: Himacerus nodipes
Lineage: Eukaryota; Metazoa; Arthropoda; Insecta; Hemiptera; Nabidae
Description: tRNA-Trp
Source: RNAcentral
AAAGCUUUAAGUUAAUAUAAACUAUUAACCUUCAAAGUUAAUUAUAAGAAUAAUUUCUUAAGCUUUA